GGAAAUGUGGCUUAGUGGUAGAGUACUUGCCUAGAAUUCAUGAAGGCCUGGGUUCAAUUCCUCAGUACCA
Molecule: transfer RNA, 70 nt
Filed under: Dipodomys ordii (Ord's kangaroo rat)
Lineage: Eukaryota; Metazoa; Chordata; Mammalia; Rodentia; Heteromyidae
Rfam family: tRNA
About the family: Transfer RNA (tRNA) molecules are approximately 80 nucleotides in length. Their secondary structure includes four short double-helical elements and three loops (D, anti-codon, and T loops). Further hydrogen bonds mediate the characteristic L-shaped molecular structure. tRNAs have two regions of fundamental functional importance: the anti-codon, which is responsible for specific mRNA codon recognition, and the 3' end, to which the tRNAs corresponding amino acid is attached (by aminoacyl-tRNA synthetases). tRNAs cope with the degeneracy of the genetic code in two manners: having more than one tRNA (with a specific anti-codon) for a particular amino acid; and 'wobble' base-pairing, i.e. permitting non-standard base-pairing at the 3rd anti-codon position.
Source: Rfam by way of RNAcentral